AAUUGUUUUCGAAUGGAUACAUUCAACGAUGCAUAAGAGUAUAAGAAUGUAAAUUUACACAGUUUUCCUAUAAUCAUUUUUCACAUGCAUUGUGUGUGAUACUUGGUGCUUCUAACACAGUGUAUUUUUUAUUAUUUCAAUAUAUAAAAUAAAGUUGCAUUUAAAUAGAAAAUUUAAAAUUUUAGAGUUCAUGAUUUUAUCAAUAUUCUCA
This 211-nucleotide unclassified non-coding RNA is filed under the name Hevea brasiliensis (rubber tree). Lineage: Eukaryota; Viridiplantae; Streptophyta; Magnoliopsida; Malpighiales; Euphorbiaceae. The record is from RNAcentral.